UACGAAGGGUGCAAGCGUUACUCGGAAUUACUGGGCGUAAAGCGUGCGUAGGUGGUUCGUUAAGUCUGAUGUGAAAGCCCUGGGCUCAACCUGGGAAUGGCAUUGGAAACUGGCGACCUAGAGUGCGGUAGAGGGUAGUGGAAUUCCCGGUGUAGCAGUGAAAUGCGUAGAUAUCGGAAGGAACACCAGUGGCGAAAGCGGCUUCCUGGUCCAGCACCGACGUUCAGGCACGAAAGCGUGGGGAGCAAACAGG
Molecule: ribosomal RNA, 253 nt
Filed under: uncultured bacterium
Lineage: Bacteria
Description: partial 16S ribosomal RNA
Rfam family: Bacterial small subunit ribosomal RNA
Source: RNAcentral